GGCGACGAUCGGUCAGCAGGAGUGGGGCGGCGUCUGCGCGACGUGCCACGGCAACCUCGGGCAGGGCGGCCUCGGGCCGGCCAUCGCCAACAACGUCGUCCUCACGCAGGCGAGCGCGCUUGCCGGGGUCGUCCGCAACGGCGUCACCGGCACGCUGGGCGCGAUGCCGCCCGUCGCCGACACCUGGAACAAGGCACAGCUCGACGCCCUUGUGGCCUACGUCAAGAAGCACAUCUACAAGCCCGCGCCCUUGGGAGCCACCAGUGGCGGCUAGAUCAGACGUCGCCUAUCCCGUGGGCUGGAAGAGCGGCCGGGUCGCGAGCUGGCUCGUCACCGUCGACCACAAGCGGAUCGGGAUCAUGUACAUCGCGACGUCCAUCAUGUGGUUCGUCGCGGCCGG
Molecule: unclassified non-coding RNA, 400 nt
Filed under: uncultured fungus
Lineage: Eukaryota; Fungi
Description: sequence contains ITS1
Source: RNAcentral